UAUGCCAUAGAUGGCUGAGACCUGCUGCUGAUUGGAUUCCUGAAUUUCUGGUCCCAUUUGUCUCCUCCAGCACAAGCUGGGCCACUGGACCAAUUGCCCCCAGAAUUACUCCUCCGAACAGAGAUGAGUGAGCAAACAGUUGUCUAUACAGAGUUGAAAGCAAAAAAGUCCUCUCC
RNAcentral lists this long non-coding RNA (176 nucleotides) under Ornithorhynchus anatinus (platypus). RNAcentral describes it as "lncRNA (ENSOANG00000037718.1)". The record is from RNAcentral. Lineage: Eukaryota; Metazoa; Chordata; Mammalia; Monotremata; Ornithorhynchidae.